AUUGAACGCUGGCGGCAUGCUUUACACAUGCAAGUCGAACGGUAACAGGCCGCACGGUGCUGACGAGCGGCGGACGGGUGCGUAAUGCAUACGAACGUGCCCCGUCGUUGGGGAUAACUAAUCGCAAGAGUAGCUAAUACCGCAUACGAUCUAUGGUAGUGAGCGGGGGAGCGCAAGGGCUCGCGCCAUUGGUGCGGCCGCUGUCAGAUUAGUUAGUGCGUGGGGUAAAGGCUCACCAAGCCAACGAUUUGUAGCGGGUCUGAGAGGACGAGCCGCCACACUGGAACUGAGACACGGCCAAGACUCCUACGGGAGGCAGCAGUGGGGAAUUUUGGACAAUGGGCGAAAGCCUGACCCAGCAAGGCCGCGUGCAGGAAGAAGGCCUUCGGGUUGUAAACUGCUGUUAUACGGAACGAAACGGCUCGGGUUAAAACCCGGGGCUAAUGACGGUACCGUAUGAAUAAGCACCGGCUAACUACGUG
RNAcentral lists this ribosomal RNA (482 nucleotides) under uncultured bacterium. RNAcentral's name for it is "partial 16S ribosomal RNA". It matches the Rfam family "Bacterial small subunit ribosomal RNA", at positions 30 to 507 of the family's 1533-position model. The record is from RNAcentral.